AGCGGUAAGGCCCUUCGGGGUACACGAGCGGCGAACGGGUGAGUAACACGUGAGCAACCUGCCCCUGACUCCGGGAUAAGCGGUGGAAACGCCGUCUAAUACCGGAUACGACCCGCCACCUCAUGGUGGAGGGUGGAAAGUUUUUCGGUCAGGGAUGGGCUCGCGGCCUAUCAGCUUGUUGGUGGGGUAACGGCCUACCAAGGCGAUUACGGGUAGCCGGCCUGAGAGGGCGACCGGCCACACUGGGACUGAGACACGGCCCAGACUCCUGCGGGAGGCAGCAGUGGGGAAUAUUGCGCAAUGGGCGAAAGCCUGACGCAGCGACGCCGCGUGGGGGAUGACGGCCUUCGGGUUGUAAACCUCUUUUACCACCAACGCAGGCUCCCAGUUCUCUGGGGGUUGACGGUAGGUGGGGAAUAAGGACCGGCUAACUACGUGCCAGCAGCCGCGGUAAUACGUAGGGUCCGAGCGUUGUCCGGAAUUAUUGGGCGUAAAGAGCUCGUAGGCGGCGUGUCGCGUCUGCUGUGAAAGACCGGGGCUUAACUCCGGUUCUGCAGUGGAUACGGGCAUGCUAGAGGUAGGUAGGGGAGACUGGAAUUCCUGGUGUAGCGGUGAAAUGCGCAGAUAUCAGGAGGAACACCGGUGGCGAAGGCGGGUCUCUGGGCCUUACCUGACGCUGAGGAGCGAAAGCAUGGGGAGCGAACAGGAUUAGAUACCCUGGUAGUCCAUGCCGUAAACGUUGGGCGCUAGGUGUGGGGACUUUCCACGGUUUCCGCGCCGUAGCUAACGC
This 790-nucleotide ribosomal RNA is filed under the name Nocardiopsis sp. 45035-1. Its description in RNAcentral is "bacterial SSU rRNA". It matches the Rfam family "Bacterial small subunit ribosomal RNA", at positions 65 to 858 of the family's 1533-position model. Lineage: Bacteria; Bacillati; Actinomycetota; Actinomycetes; Streptosporangiales; Nocardiopsidaceae. The record is from RNAcentral.